RNAcentral lists this ribosomal RNA (504 nucleotides) under uncultured bacterium. Its description in RNAcentral is "bacterial SSU rRNA". It matches the Rfam family "Bacterial small subunit ribosomal RNA", at positions 107 to 598 of the family's 1533-position model. The record is from RNAcentral.
UGAGUAACACGUAGGCAACCUACCCAUCAGACCGGGAUAACCGCGGGAAACCGUGGCUAAUACCGGAUGACCCUUCCGGACAUAAGUCCUGAAGUUGAAAGGCGCUUUUGGUGCCGUUGAUGGAUGGGCCUGCGGCGCAUUAGCUGGUUGGUGGGGUAACGGCUCACCAAGGCGACGAUGCGUAGCCGACCUGAGAGGGUGAUCGGCCACACUGGGACUGAGACACGGCCCAGACUCCUACGGGAGGCAGCAGUAGGGAAUCUUCCGCAAUGGACGCAAGUCUGACGGAGCAACGCCGCGUGAGUGAAGAAGGGUUUCGGCUCGUAAAACUCUGUUGUUAAGGAAGAAUGUCAGUGAGAGUAACUGCUCAUUGAGUGACGGUACUUAACCAGAAAGCCACGGCUAACUACGUGCCAGCAGCCGCGGUAAUACGUAGGUGGCAAGCGUUAUCCGGAAUUAUUGGGCGUAAAGCGCGCGUAGGCGGUUUCUUAAGUCUGAUGUGAA